RNAcentral lists this transfer RNA (72 nucleotides) under Stegodyphus mimosarum. It matches the Rfam family "tRNA". Rfam says of the family: Transfer RNA (tRNA) molecules are approximately 80 nucleotides in length. Their secondary structure includes four short double-helical elements and three loops (D, anti-codon, and T loops). Further hydrogen bonds mediate the characteristic L-shaped molecular structure. tRNAs have two regions of fundamental functional importance: the anti-codon, which is responsible for specific mRNA codon recognition, and the 3' end, to which the tRNAs corresponding amino acid is attached (by aminoacyl-tRNA synthetases). tRNAs cope with the degeneracy of the genetic code in two manners: having more than one tRNA (with a specific anti-codon) for a particular amino acid; and 'wobble' base-pairing, i.e. permitting non-standard base-pairing at the 3rd anti-codon position. Lineage: Eukaryota; Metazoa; Arthropoda; Arachnida; Araneae; Eresidae. The record is from Rfam by way of RNAcentral.
GCCUUCGUGGUGCAACGGUUAGCACACUCGGUGCGUGUUCAAGAGGUCCAGGUUCGAAUCCCGUCGACGGCA